CCUACGGGAGGCAGCAGUAGGGAAUCUUCCACAAUGGGCGCAAGCCUGAUGGAGCAACACCGCGUGAGUGAAGAAGGGUUUCGGCUCGUAAAGCUCUGUUGUUGGGGAAGAACGUGCGUGAGUGCAACUGUUCACGCAGUGGCGGAAUCCCACCAGAAAGUCACGGCUAACUACGUGCAAGCAGCCGCGGUAAUACGUAGGUGGCAAGCGUUAUCCGGAUUUAGUGGGCGGAAAGCGCGCGCAGGCGGGUGGAUAGGUCUGAUGUGAAAGCCUUCGGCUUAACCGAAGAAGUGCAUCGGAAACCGGGGGACUUGAGUGGAGAAGAGGACAGUGGAACUCCAUGUGUAGCGGUGGAAUGCGUAGAUAUAAGGAAGAACACCAGUGGCGAAGGCGGCUGUCUGGUCUGCAACUGACGCUGAGGCUCGAAAGCAUGGGGAGCGAACAGUAUUAGAUACCCGAGUAGUC
Molecule: ribosomal RNA, 465 nt
Filed under: uncultured bacterium
Lineage: Bacteria
Description: partial 16S ribosomal RNA
Rfam family: Bacterial small subunit ribosomal RNA
Source: RNAcentral